This 253-nucleotide ribosomal RNA is filed under the name uncultured bacterium. Its description in RNAcentral is "partial 16S ribosomal RNA". It matches the Rfam family "Bacterial small subunit ribosomal RNA", at positions 524 to 776 of the family's 1533-position model. The record is from RNAcentral.
UACGUAGGGGGCUAGCGUUGUCCGGAUUUAUUGGGCGUAAAGAGCGUGUAGGCGGCCAGGUAGGUCCGUUGUGAAAACUCGAGGCUCAACCUCGAGAUGUCGGCGGAAACCAUCUGGCUAGAGUCCGGAAGAGGAGAGUGGAAUUCCUGGUGUAGCGGUGAAAUGCGCAGAUAUCAGGAAGAACACCCGUGGCGAAGGCGGCUCUCUGGGACGGUACUGACGCUGAGACGCGAAAGCGUGGGGAGCGAACAGG